Molecule: long non-coding RNA, 5767 nt
Filed under: Sus scrofa (pig)
Lineage: Eukaryota; Metazoa; Chordata; Mammalia; Artiodactyla; Suidae
Description: lncRNA (ENSSSCG00060077669.1)
Source: RNAcentral
GGAUUUUAUUCCUUUAUGCAGGAUUAUAUCAACAAAAAAAAUUAAUCAGUUGCUCUAAUAAAGAAAUGGGAAAUGUUAUUAGAGUCAAAUUGAGGAUUAUAACCCAGAACAGAUUUCAGAAAGCUCCAAAAACUAUUUCGUCUAUUAGAGGUCAAAGGAUAGUUAUUUAGGUUUUUAAGACAGGGGACUGUACAUUAAAUGAUGUAGAUAGUUUUCGAAAUCCAGAUCUGCAAGUACAGAGUGGUGGAGCGUCGCGACCGUUUAAAAGAUCAAGAAGGAGGGAGUUCCCUUCGUGGCUCAGGCAGUUAAGAAUCCAACUAGUAUCUGUGAGGAUGUGGGUUCAAUCCCUGGCCUUACUCAGUGGGUUAAGGACCUGGCAUUGCCAUGAGUUGUAUUGUAGGUCACAGAUGUGGCUCAGAUCCUGAGUUGCUGUGGCUGUGGUGUGCUGCACCUGCGGCCAUAAAAAACAAAAUAAAUUAAUUAAUUAAAUGACAAAAUAAAAGAUCAAGAAGGAAUGUUAUCUUUCAAGGAGUUAUUGGUGCUAGGAGAAAGUUGCUCUUUAUGGUUGAGCAGGUAUUUCUGUCCACAGGGAGGUUUAGUUGAUGCAUAAUACAUACACAAUGCACAGCAGAGGAGAAAGAGGAGAACCAAAGGGCAGAGAAAAAUUUUUACAUUAAAAUUUUCCUUGACUUGUCUUAGAAUGCAAAUAUUUAUUUCACAAUCAUUAUCAUUAUACCUAAUAAUCAUUAUCACACUGUUUUAUAAUGGUUGCUUAUUUGUUUAAAUUUCCCCAUUAGUCAUGAGUUUCAUGAGACUAAGAAUCCUACGUCUCAUUCAUUUUUGUAGCCCCAGCACUUAGAGUUAUAUUGAGCUUAUCACUGAUGCUAAAAUAUAUCUGUAUAUUUGCUAUCUAUUUAUCAUCUAUUUAUCUGCCUCCCCAUCAAACAAGGAUUGAUAACAUGUUGUCAGUGUGAGCUUUUUAAAAUGUAUUAGAGUGUGAAAUUUCUAUAAAACAAAAAUGUAAUUGUGUAUCAAUGGGUGGCCAAAGGGAAGACAAAAUUAUUGGACUGUUUUUUUUUCCCCCCACCUUUCUAUCAGAAAACCACUUCUCUCCAUUCUGCAUCCCUCGGGUGGGAGUGAUCCCUCAGCCCCAGGGGUAAUUCAGCCCCAGAAGUUCAUGACACAGGCUUGGCCAUCCCAGUUUGUCUCCCCCAUUUUUCUGGGUGUGACUGUGAGGGUGUUUCCAGAUAAGAAUAACAUUUGAAUGAGUAGACUAAAGCAGAUUGUUCCUCCCUAGUGGAAAGGGGCCUCAUCUAAUCAAGUGAAGAUCUGAAUAGAGUUUAAAAUGCUGAGUAAGAGGAAACUCCUCCUGCCUGAUUAUUCAAGGAGGGGAUUGCUCUCUUCCCGCCUUCAAAGUCAAACCAAAAAAUCAGCUCUUCUUGGGCCUCAAGUCUACUGGAUUCCAUUCUAGAACUUAAGAGCAUUGGCUCUUCUGGGUCUCUGACUUGAUUUUGGAACUUCUCAGAUCAAGAAUUGGAUGAGCCAAUUCCUUAUAGUGAAUUUCUGUCUUUCUCUCUUUCUCUCUCACGUGUGUGUGUGUGUGUGUGUGUGUGUGUGUGUGUAUGAAACAAAAACUGAAAAUAUACUUUUAGUCAUAAUCACAAGUCACCAUAAUUUCAUCACUAAAUAGGAAAUAUUCAGAGAAAAUAUGGAUGUGUACAGAUUUGUUUGGAGAAAAAUUAUCUGACCAAACAAUUCAGUUGGAAAACCAGGUGGUCCUUUAGCAACAAGCGUUCAAGGUCCAUAUUUUAAGAGGAACCUCCCAGUGAUUGCCCUGAUACACAUUUUUCCUUCUGAUUUGAUGAUGCCCAAAACUUGCACAGGUGGAACUUCAUCCUCUUAGACCAGGGCUCUCAGCUGUGAAUGAUACUGCCCCAACACGACAUGGGAAUGCCUGGAGACAUUUUUGGUUAUCACAACUAGGAGAAGGGUGCUACUGCCAUCUAAUAGGUUGAAGCUAGGGAUUGAGCUUAGCAGGCUAUAGAACAACCCCCUACAACAAAGAAUAUUUGGGCCUCAAAUGUCAACAGUGCUGAGUUUGAGAAAAUCCUGGUUUAGCCAGCUUUUGGUAUCUGAGUGAGGUAACAAACCAAAGUCAAGCAGUCAUUUAUGUAAUGAAAAUGAAUUCAAGGCCUUUCCCAGAAGCUAGUUUUCACAGAGACAAGUGGAUGGAGAAGAGUGAGGUUCCAGAGUACGUUCAGAGAAUGGCAGAGAUACCAAAGAAAUGAGAAGGGGAAUGGGAGUUCCUGUCGUGGCUCGGUGGUAACAAACCCGACUGGUAUCUGUGAAAACUCGGGUUCUCUCCCUGGCCCCUCUCAGUGGGUUAAGCAUCUGGUGUUGUCUUGAGCUGUGCAGAUGCAGCUUGGAUCUGUCAUUGCUGCGGCUAUGGUGCAGGGUGGCAGCUGCAGCUCUGAUUUGAGCCCUAGCCUGGGAACUUCCAUUGGCCAUGAGUGUGGACUAAAAAGGAAAAAAAAAAAAAAAUUCAGAAGAGAAGGAAAUCAAAAACAAAAGCACAAUUUUAUAAGUUUAUAACUUACUUUGGAGGAAAGCAUGCCCCUUUGGAGGUGAGGUUCAGACCUCCAAAAGCUACUCAAAUAUUUCUAGUAAGCAAAGAUACAGAUUAGUGUAUUUGUUGAACAACGGCUCUUGUUUGUAAAAUAGUUCAUUGUUUUUCCCCUGGCAAAAUUAAGCAGAAAAUGAAAAGAUUUAAAGAAAGUAAAGAAACAAUGUUCAAGCUAUGUCUCUAGACUAGUGCUUCUAAGCCCUGAGCACCAAGCCCUGCAACUUCCGCCACCCCCAAAGAAGGCACUGCAGAAACCAUUUUUUAAAACUGGGCAAUCAGUUCAACUUCAAGCUUAAAGGUUAUCAGGACCCUGGCAGGAAGAGCUGGCACCUGUAAAUUGGGUAAUUUGAAAAAAAUCAAAGGUGUGGGCAUAAUGUAGGGAAAGCACAGGAGAUAGUUCAUGACUUAAGACUAGUAAUCAUACCUCCCUCACUCAUGAAGGGGCUAUGGGAGGGAGCAUUUCUCUAACUACUGCAUUCAGAGAGCUGUUCAGGGAAGACAGCUUAAUAGGGCUGUCCUAUUUGGUCAAAAGAUACAUCCUGCCCAGGAAGACCCUACAAGGAAGGAACUGGGGGCAUCAGUACACUCAUCUCACGCUCCUCAGUCCUUCUGACCUCCUGCUGUUACUUCCCAUGGCUUAAAUCCAAGGGGCAUUGAGAAGGCAAGAUGGCUGGAUGAAGGCCAGUGUCUUGGUCCCGUCAGGCUGCCAUAGAAGCAUACUGUACAUUGGGUUCCUUAUAAACAACAGAAAUUUUAUUUAUUUCUCACAGUGCUAGAAGCUGAGAAGUCCAAGAUUAACGCAUCAGCAGAUUCAGUGCCUGGUGAGCGCAUGCUUCCUGGUUCAGAGAUGGCUGUCUUCAUUCUGCAUCCUCACAGGACACAUGGAGCCUCUCUGGACCCUCCUGCAUGAGGACACUGAGCUCAUCCAUGAGGCCUCCAGCCUCAAGACUUAAUAACACUCCAAAGGUCUCACCUCCUAAUUCCAUCACAUUGGGGGUUAGGGUUUCAACAUAUGAAUUUUAAGGGAUCACAAAUAUUCAGUCUAGGGAGUUCCUGUUGUGGGACAGUGGAAACAAAUCUGACUAGUAUCCAUGAGGAUGAAGGUUCGAUCCCUGGCUCCACUUAGUAGGUCAGGGAUCUGGUGUUACUGUGGCUAUGGCGCAGGCUGGCAGCUGCAGCUCCAAUUUGACCCCUAGCCUGGGAACUUCCAUAUGCCGUGUGUGCGUAUGGAAAAGCAAAAGCAAAAGACAAAAACCAAAAACCAUUCAGUCUAUAAUAGUCAGCCUCCAAGUCAGACCCAGGGUAGGGAGCAGAUCUUGGGGAAAAAUUGGAAACUGUUAUAGCAUUCUGACCUUCAGCAUGCAUUCUUGUCCUUAAUUCAAAUGAAAACUUGUGUCAUCAACACAUAUCAACUAUUUUAUUCUUGUUGAUAUCCAUUCAUUCAUGUUUCUUCCUGAAAACUUAAUAUUAGCUAGCAUCAAUAUUCCUCAUAUAAUGGAGAGAGGUAGAAAGAAGGAGGAAGAGAAACAAUUAAAUAAUAUUUAGCAUAACUGCUACAACCCUACGCCAAUAGCUAUUUACUGGCCUGAAGCUGGUAAUCAUAGCUGUCUUCUUCCCCCACUCAAUUCAAGUUCCCUUUACCUUCUAAUAGCAUCACAGCUGGCUUUUUUAGCUGGUAGGGAGACAAAAAUAUUUAUUCCCAUGGGAUAUGAGUCUUUGCUGGUCUUGGCUUUAUUGGGUUGCUAUGGCUUUAUAUUGAACAGGACUACUAUCAUAGGAGUGUCAUGAGGUACUCCAGUGAUUCUCUAGCUUCUAAUAUAAUCUUCAUUCUAUCCACUGUAGUGUAGAAAUUCAAUUUCCCACUGAUUACCAGGGUUAGGCAUGUUGGCUAGAACAGUACUGUGGGAAGUGGGGUGGAGGUGGGGAAGUAAAGGUAGUUCCCAAGUAAAUGGGACCAGAUCUUCCUGCCUCUACUACAAUACAUUCUCUCUCUCUCUCUCUUUUUUUAGGGCUAUACCCACAGCAUAUGGAGGUUCCCAGGGCUAGGGGUUCAAUCGGAGCUAUAGCUGCUGGCCUACACCACAGCCACAGCAACAUGGCAUCCCAGCCACAUCCAUGACCUACACCACAGCUCAUGGCAACACUAGAUCCUUAACCCACUGAGCAAGGCCAGGGAUCGAACCUGUGUCCUCAUGGAUGCUAGUCGGGUUUGCUAACCACUGAGCCAUGAUGGGAACUCCAGAACUUAUUUAUUCUUGAACAAAAACUUUCCAAGAAGUUCCCAUUGUGGUUCAUGGGUUAAGAAUCUGAUGGUGUCUCUGUGAGGAUGUGGGUUCCAUCUCUGGUAUUGCUCACUGGGUUAAGGAUAUGGCACUGCUGCAAGCUAUAGCUUUGAUUCGACCCCUGCCCUGGGAAAUUCCAUGUGCCGAAGUUGUGGCCAUUAAAACAAACAAACAAACAAACAAACAAAACUUUCUGGAACGAUUAACCAAUAAACACAUGGUAAACACAUACUUUGCAUUAAACCCAUAGUAAAGAUGCAUUGUCUAAUACAGUGACAUAUAAAAAAUGUUUCUGUCUCCAAUUAUUAAUUUUUCAAGUAACAUGGAAAUGACAUUCUUAAAAAUGAAAAUUAAAAAUGAUAAAAACUACAGAUACUAAGAUUAACAUAACAAAAGGAAUGCCUACAUAUGCUUUCAUUAGAUAGCUCGUAAUUGCCAGGAAAUAACCUAAGGUUGAGGUGAUGCGGUUUGGAAGAGUGGAAGAAACAGAUUUGGGAGACAAAUAGGCCUAUGUCCACUCCUAGCCCUGCUUUUACUAAGUCUCUAGCUCUGGCCAAAUGAUUCAACCUCCCUAAAUCUGUUUCCUCAAUGAUGAGGUGCCAUGCAGAAUAACUAAAUAAUUAAUUAAAUAAGUUGUUCAAAAGUAGCAGUUGUUAUUGAGAUGAUAUUUCCACCUGAAAUACAGAUGUUUCAAUGCAAGGUACCUAGGCUGCAGCCCCCUGAGAUGUAAAUGACCAUCUUACAGACAGAGGGUCCCUGAAUGGUGAGGAACUGGGGAAGUGGUGUUCCUUGAGCUCCACAUUGAGAUAAUAGAAGCAGAUCACAGAGCAGGAAAGGACCCAAAAAACACUGGUGAAGGAUG